CGUCUGAGAAAUCGCGCCUUGCGAACGAAGUGACUGCAGCCAUCAACGCUUCAAUACGACAGCGAAGAAGAAGGGCGCGUGCGUGUGGGGAGCUCUGCCUUUAUCGUAGUUGAUGCGUGUGCCGGCACGUAUUGCUGCCGGUUGCCGUAUAUGGUCAAGGCAGCCGCGAUCGCUAAUUCUUGUUUUGUGCGGCUGCUCCGUGUCAGGAAGAGGGAUGCAGCGAUACGUGGGGUGCGCAUGGGGGCAUCGAGGCGGCCGAUGGGCAACCACCACGCUAGCCAUGGCGUCAGCCGCCGCUACUCCAUCGUUGCUGGUGUCUUCUAGCAUGCUCACUACUUCACGCUACUGCACGACGACGAGCGCAUCGGCAGAGGUACCAGCGCAAGGCGACGACGGCAACGCGGUUGUCCCUCACCUCAAGCAAGACAUGGAAGCACUCGAGACGCUGCGCUCCAUCGCGCCUGUCAGCUCCACGGAGGAAAUCCAGGCAAUGAUCAAGAGCGCAAAGAACGCUCGCGAGGUGCGGAUGGUGCUCGAGAGGAUCGUCUACACGCACCACCUCUGCUUUGACCUGCUCAACGGCCACGGCUACCGUGUUGCGGUGCUGCAGACGCUGACGGCCGUAGCACCGCACGCGAGCUGCAUGCACGAGUGGUUCGACUGCGUCGCCCGCUUCCGGCGCCUGGGCUUCAUGCUCACCCGCACGUACGCGGCGGAGGGUUUCACGACAAUACGGCAGUGGCUGUCGCGCGAGUUCCUUCACCGCGGGCGAUCGCCCAGCCUCGUCACGGAGGGCACGACGCACAUCAAGGAGCUGAUGCAGUGGUGCCUCGAGGACCGACUUGUCUUUGACCACGUCCUCUACACCCGCAUCGUGUUUUUACUGACGAUGAUCGUCAGCUACUUGGACCGGCAGAACUUGUACCGCGCCUCCUUCCCGGAGGAUUUCGCGAAGCGUGACGGUAUUGUGGUAGAGUGGAUCGUGACUAACGAGCGGUGCGUCGACUUUGAUGAGUGCGUGCUGCAGUGCGACGCCGUGAUGGAAGAGUUGCUGGAGCAGAUGCGGCAGGACAUUCCGUCCCGCCCUCCGUUCAGCUUCAUGUACCGCCUCGCGGACUACUACUUCGCCACCGACAACGUGGAGAAGAUGAUCGCCGUGAUGGAGGAUGCGGAGAGCUACGGCGUGAGCGUGGCGGAGAGCACGACGGCAAAGCUGAUGCAGAUGGCAUGUGCCUUCAACUCUCCGCAGGUGCCGGAGCUGCUGCUGCGAUGGCGGGUGCUGCCCCCUCAGUGUGUGCUGGCCACGCCGGACGUGAGCCGUCUCCUCUUCUUCUACAGUCGUUCUGGCGGCGGCCUGCCGUGCCCUCACUGCGGUGAGCCCUACAAUCAUCGGAACGUCAGCGUGUACUGCUGGCUGCAGACGCCGCCGCAUCAGCGGCAGUGUCCGGCGCUGCGCAAGGCGCGCGUGCAGAAAGGAGAGUUGGAGGAGUCGCGGGAGCUGCCCCAGAAUGCGGACUGGUCGGCACAGGCCUUUGGACUCUUCGAGCUCUCGCGUGCACGUGCCAUUGAGUGGACGGCGGUAGAGUGGCGCGGCUUCUUGCUCUGCUGCAUCUUCUCUCCGCGCGCCAUGGAGGCCAAGGCGCUCAUGGACCAGCACCUCGACGUGACGGAAAUGGAUGACUUCUUGCGAGCCGCAUGCAUUCGCCUGCUGCGCCACCACGCGCCAGCAGAGGCGUGGCCCACCUUAAAGAAAUGGAAGCAGCAACAAUGUAACAUGUCUCCCAUUGCGCUUCAGGAGGCGCUGAUGGCCGCCUCGAUGGUGGCGGACGCUGCCACGCGGCUGGAACACAUGAAGGCGGUGUGGCAGCUGCUUCUGGAGAAGGAUAGCUACGUUAUGCCCCUCACACGCCGUUUCUAUCAGCGACGAAUGGAAGAGCUGGCGAAGAGCUACGCCGCCGCCGCCGGUGGUGACGGUAAGGAGUCGCAAGACGACUUGGCAACUGAGCGGGAGGAGGCGCAGCUCAUGCAGAGGGUCGUGGAGAUGCAGCCGCGCCACGUGUCGCUGCUCGAUAUGAAGGACAGCGCCGCCGACUUCGUUGUCGGUACACGUCGCAAGAACGUCUAUCGGCCGCGUUAAGCUAGUGGACCGUGGCCGUCCCGUUUCUCCACCUCGCUUCCCCAUCCUCCUGUCCUGCACCCACCGCUCUUUCCUGCAGACAUGUGCGCCAGCGUAUCUGCGAAUACGUCGGCUACGAGGGGGGGGGGCUGGUGCUGUGUGUACGGGGGUGUAUCUGUGCAGGUGCACGUGGGAAGGGGCGCCCGGGUGGUCGCCCACCCACCCGGCCGCGGUUGAUCCUUGCGACCGAUGCUCUUGUGGUUGUGCUCACAGAGUGUGAUGAGGCGCGUGCGUCUCUCCCACACAGGGACAAGAGAAGACGAAGAAGAAGAUCGCUGAGCAUCUGCGCGAUGUACGGCCGAGAUGGAGAGUGGGGGAGGGAGAAGUGAUAAUACGCGGAGGCAGUGGUGGCAUUUGCCUCCCCGUCCCCCUCCCGCCGCCUGGUGUGCCAGAGCGGCCACUUACCAUGUGCUGUGUGAUCAACCGCCCCCUACCCGCCUUCCGACCAUGUCUGACGCCCUCCCCCUUUCACAUCCUCUCACUCUCGCUGUUUUGGGGUAACUCCCCAG
Molecule: unclassified non-coding RNA, 2685 nt
Filed under: Leishmania donovani
Lineage: Eukaryota; Euglenozoa; Kinetoplastea; Trypanosomatida; Trypanosomatidae
Description: gene:LdHU3.21.0200(CDS-product:hypothetical_prote in_conserved)
Source: RNAcentral